RNAcentral lists this ribosomal RNA (347 nucleotides) under uncultured bacterium. RNAcentral describes it as "bacterial SSU rRNA". It matches the Rfam family "Bacterial small subunit ribosomal RNA", at positions 8 to 350 of the family's 1533-position model. The record is from RNAcentral.
AGAGUUUGAUCCUGGCUCAGAUUGAACGCUGGCGGCAUGCUUUACACAUGCAAGUCGAACGGCAGCACAGGGAGCUUGCUCCCGGGUGGCGAGUGGCGCACGGGUGAGUAAUACAUCGGAACGUGUCCUGUUGUGGGGGAUAACUGCUCGAAAGGGUGGCUAAUACCGCAUGAGACCUGAGGGUGAAAGGCGGGGAUCGCAAGACCUCGCGCAAUUGGAGCGGCCGAUGCCCGAUUAGCUAGUUGGUGAGGUAAAGGCUCACCAAGGCGACGAUCGGUAGCUGGUCUGAGAGGACGACCAGCCACACUGGGACUGAGACGACCGGCCCAGACUCCGUACGGGAANCA